Macadamia integrifolia is the source of this 726-nucleotide long non-coding RNA. RefSeq lists it as uncharacterized. Lineage: Eukaryota; Viridiplantae; Streptophyta; Magnoliopsida; Proteales; Proteaceae. The record is from RefSeq and is a predicted model, not a curated record. The transcript is spliced from 5 exons.
ACUACAUAGAAUCAGUGAAAAAUGUAUGACCUCCGACGACCAUUCGACAAACUCAUCCUGCUGCUCCGUCGCGUUCGUGCUUCUCCCUCAAUGAAGGUUGUGACUUCUCCUCUCAAAGAUUUGUGAUCUCUGACGAAAAUUCGAGCCCCUCAUCUGCAUCUACUCUGACUCGUCCCUGCUUCUGUCUCAAUGAAUGUCUCGAUUUGCUUAAUCUCGAAGAUUUGUGACCUCCGACGACCAUUCCAGCCACUCAACCGUAUCUGCUCCACCUCAUCCCUACUUCUCCCUCAACGAAUGUCGCGAUUUGCUUAAUCUCGAAGCUACUCAAUCGCAUCUACUCCACCUCGUCCCUACUUCUCCCUCAACGUAGGUUGCUGUUUGCUUAGUCUCGAAGAGGACAUGGCAUCGGAAAGCCAAUCCUAGUCAAAGAGAGGACAAAAUUGUUCAUGGCCAAAUGAGGUAUCACAAUUUCUGCUUCAAUGUUUAUUAGAUUACCAUCAAAAAGGAAAAAAGGGUGAUAAUGGCCUUAGUAAAGAUCAGUGGCAAUCUAUUGUCAAAUGCAUACAAGAUAGAAUUGAUAUGACCUAUAAUUGGGAACAAGUCCACCAUCAUUAUCGAAUAUGGAAACAAAGGUUAAGAGCGUUGAGUGACCUCGAAAAGAAUUGUCCCAUGAGCUGGAUUCAAUAGAGAUGCGCUUUGAUGCCCCUCAGCAUGUUUGGAAUGAGU